Molecule: ribosomal RNA, 772 nt
Filed under: uncultured bacterium
Lineage: Bacteria
Description: bacterial SSU rRNA
Rfam family: Bacterial small subunit ribosomal RNA
Source: RNAcentral
AGAGUUUGAUCAUGGCUCAGAACGAACGCUGGCGGCGUGCUUAACACAUGCAAGUCGAGUGCGCGUCUGUAGCAAUACAGGUGGCGCACGGCGCACGGGUGCGUAACACGUGGGUAACCUGCCCUUUAGUGGGGAAUAACCUCGCGAAAGCGAGGCUAAUUCCGCAUAAGAUCCGCAAGGAUGAAAGCCGUAAGGCGCUGAUGGAGGGGCCCGCGCACGAUUAGCUAGUUGGUAGGGUAACGGCCUACCAAGGCUAUGAUCGUUAGCUGGUCUGAGAGGAUGGCCAGCCACACUGGAACUGAGACACGGUCCAGACUCCUACGGGAGGCAGCAGUGGGGAAUCUUGCACAAUGGGCGAAAGCCUGAUGCAGCGACGCCGCGUGGGGGAUGAAGCUUCUCGGAGUGUAAACCCCUUUCGACCCGGACGAAUACCUCGCAAGAGGGGUGACGGUACGGGUAUAAGAAGCCCCGGCUAACUACGUGCCAGCAGCCGCGGUAAGACGUAGGGGGCCAGCGUUGUUCGGAAUUACUGGGUGUAAAGGGUUCGUAGGCGGUGUGGCAAGUCGGGAGUGAAAUUUCUGGGCUCAACUCAGAGACUGCUUCCGAAACUGCUGUGCUUGAGUGUGGGAGAGGCGCGUGGAAUUGCAGGUGUAGCGGUGAAAUGCGUAGAUAUCUGCAGGAACACCCGUGGCGAAAGCGGCGCGCUGGACCACUACUGACGCUGAGGAACGAAAGCUAGGGGAGCAAACAGGAUUAGAUACCCUAGUAGUCC